RNAcentral lists this ribosomal RNA (440 nucleotides) under uncultured bacterium. RNAcentral's name for it is "partial 16S ribosomal RNA". It matches the Rfam family "Bacterial small subunit ribosomal RNA", at positions 338 to 795 of the family's 1533-position model. The record is from RNAcentral.
CCUACGGGAGGCAGCAGUGGGGAAUAUUGCACAAUGGGGGAAACCCUGAUGCAGCGACGCCGCGUGAGUGAAGAAGGAUUUAGGGAUGGAAAGCUCUAUCAGUAGGGGAGAAAAGGAAGGUACCUGAUUAAGAAUCCCCGGCUUACUCCGUGCCAGCAGCCGCGGUAAUACGUAGGGGGCAGGCGUUAUCCGGAUUUACUGGGUGUAAAGGGAGCGUAGUCGGCAGCAUAAGUCUGGAGUGAAAUGUCGGGGCUUAACCCCGAAACUGCUUUGGAAACUGUGCAGCUAGAGUGCAGGAGAGGUAAGUGGAAUUCCUAGUGUAGCGGUGAAAUGCGUAGAUAUUAGGAGGAACACCGGUGGCGAAGGCAGCUUACUAGACUGUAACUGACGUUGAGGCUCGAAAGCGUGGGGAGCAAACAGGAUUAGAUACCCUUGUAGUC